Molecule: RNase P RNA, 452 nt
Filed under: Acidobacteria bacterium RIFCSPLOWO2_02_FULL_61_28
Lineage: Bacteria; Pseudomonadati; Acidobacteriota
Description: RNase P RNA component class A
Rfam family: Bacterial RNase P class A
About the family: Ribonuclease P (RNase P) is a ubiquitous endoribonuclease, found in archaea, bacteria and eukarya as well as chloroplasts and mitochondria.
Source: RNAcentral
CGAGCAGGUUGGGCGAUCGCUCCCCGGCUAUGCCGGGGGGAGGAAAGUCCGGACUCCGCAGGGCAGUGUGCUGGCUAACGGCCAGGAUCGGUCGGGCCUUCCCGGCAUCGCCGGGAGGGCUGGGUCGGUACGGACAGUGCCACAGAAAAUAUACCGCCCCGGCUUGCCGGGGUAAGGGUGAAAAGGUGCGGCCCCCCGGCACGCCGGGGGACUUAAUGUAAGAGCGCACCGCCCGGACGGUGACGGCCGGGGCAGGGAAAACCCCACACGGAGCAAGACCAAAUAGGAGAGGAGGAGCGGCCCGCUCCGCAACCCCCCGGCUUGCCGGGGGGGGUGAACUCUCGGGUAGGUCGCUAGAGCCCGGAAGCAAUUCCGCGGCCCAGAGGAAUGAUCGCCGCUUCCCCGGCUUGCCGGGGGGGGCACAGAAUCCGGCUUACAGGCCUGCUCGCCAU